AACAUUAAGAACUGGCAAAAAUGGCGACCGACGGACAAAGAGACCUCGUCAUAAGCAGCUCAUCUUUUCCUUUUCCCGUUUUCAGCAAUGACUUUUUCCAAGAACUGUCCCUGGUGGCCGUCAUGAUCAUCUUUUUCUCCGUCGUCGUGCUUUCGUUCUCCUCCAUCUCCCUCGGGGCGACGGCAGGAAGAAGAAGAAGAAGAGGACGGAGGGAAACCAUCGCACCGAAUUACCAGUGGCCCUCCCUGACCACAAGGAACAGGCCGAUGCUAUAUAUCUUGUCAAGAGUCAUGAUGGCUGUAACGGACGGACUGAAGCGAUAUGAAGAGGCACCGCCCUCCAGCCUCUGAAUCGCUCUUUUUCUUCUCAUUUUGAUAUAUCCUAUACUGUAUA
This is a long non-coding RNA of Macrobrachium nipponense, 393 nucleotides long. RefSeq lists it as uncharacterized. The record is from RefSeq and is a predicted model, not a curated record. Lineage: Eukaryota; Metazoa; Arthropoda; Malacostraca; Decapoda; Palaemonidae. The transcript is spliced from 3 exons.